GACGAAGGAUGCAAGCGUUAUCCGGAUUCAUUGGGUUUAAAGGGAGCGUAGGCGGAUUGGUAAGUCAGUGGUGAAAUCUUUGGGCUUAACCCAGAAACUGCCAUUGAUACUGCUGAUCUAGAGUACAGUUGCCGUUGGCGGAAUAUGACAUGUAGUGGUGAAAUACUUAGAUAUGUCAUAGAACACCGAUUGCGAAGGCAGCUAACGAAGCUGUAACUGACGCUGAGGCUCGAAAGUGCGGGGAUCAAACAGG
Molecule: ribosomal RNA, 253 nt
Filed under: uncultured bacterium
Lineage: Bacteria
Description: partial 16S ribosomal RNA
Rfam family: Bacterial small subunit ribosomal RNA
Source: RNAcentral